RNAcentral lists this unclassified non-coding RNA (213 nucleotides) under Hevea brasiliensis (rubber tree). The record is from RNAcentral. Lineage: Eukaryota; Viridiplantae; Streptophyta; Magnoliopsida; Malpighiales; Euphorbiaceae.
GAAGUCCAAAAUAUGCCAUUUGCUGCAGCAUUAGCAGCACCAUUGGCACCCCAAAUCUCUUCACAUAAAAAAGUGUGGGCUUCUUCCGGCACAAUCAGGAAAAAUAGCAAUGCCCAGAUGCAAAAAUUGGAAAAGAAUGCUCUUCGGAAUGUAACAGAGGUAGUUAGAAAGGAUGCGGAGUUCAUAAAAAAGGGAAUUGGGAAGGGGCUGCAA